AUGGCAGCCCAAGCCGCUGCUCCGAGUCAGGAUAGAAUGCAGCCGAGAGGAAAACGGAGCACACGUUUCACAAGGACCCGAGAUGACCCGCUGGCCCUCCUCGGAGUCCCCCAUCCCCACUGUCCACAGCCCCAAGUGGGGCUGGGGGCGCGGGGAGACAGGGCGAGGGGGGUGCAGUCGGUCCCCGUCCGCAGCCGCACACAAAGCCCUUCGCCUUCUCCUUGCCUCCCAAGCUCCUCCCUGGGCUUCGUUUUUUUUUCCGAGGGUCUCGGAUGCCCCCUUCGGUGGUCGGCGGGACGGUCUGACUGCCUCUCCAAACGCUGCCUCCUCCUCCCUCGCUACUCAGCCUCAUUCUCCCCGCCCGUCGCCACAGACCCCGAAAGGAGCCUGGUCCCGGCUUGGGGGGGCCUCACCGGAAUGCUGCUGGGGGCGAAUGAACGAAGUUGACUGCUCACCAGGAAUUUAAAUUCCUUAAGAUCUUGGCGCUUCAUCCUUAAAACCAGAAGAGCUGAUUGUUCCCAGAUCCUGACCCAGUGGCAUUCCUCCCUGCGAUGUUGGUCUUGUCCCAGGCAUCUUUUCAAGAAAAGUAAUUCAACUAAGAGAUUGAAAGCAAACUACAUGAAUUAACUAUAAGACACGUAAAAACCCAUGUGCUCUUGAAUGAGGAACUUGCUGGACUCUCUGCCUAUCUUUUCCUUUCACCUUUUAGGAUUCAGUUUCCUGGGUUCUACAAAACGGACAUGGUGGCCACUGUAGAGCCUGUGAAGGGGUUAGGGAAGGAGAGGUUGGCUACAACAGAGGAACUCUGCUUUCAGACUAUUAAGAGUCUGUAACAUCCUCCACAAAUUCCUGUGUAGUUCCCCCGACCCUCAUGGGAAGGAAAGGCCACUUAGAGACUACAUGACUAACCUCAGGCAUGGAACGGGCUGGAUUAAUUUAAGGUGUAGAAUUGAUGAGAAGCACAAAGGUAUGCUUGCUUCCCUUCCAGGAGUUCCUGUUGCAUGGCCCUGUGUCAUUGUCCACCUAAAUGAGCGGUGCUGUGAUCCUCGAAUUUUCCAUUCCCUACAAAUGACUACUUCUUAAUGGUUUGCAGUCUGGUAACAUUCCAGUGAAAGCGUGCCCCUCUUCCAAAAGAUUAAUUGGUGAUGAUGGUUUGGCAAAUCUGUCGACUUUUUCUAGGGUUCAGCUUGGGGGAAAAAAAUUAUAUACUCGCUUGUAGCAUUUAACAUUAUCUACCAGGCCUUGGUUGAGGCUGUUUUCUGCCAUGCUUCUAAUAUGGUACCCUCCUCCUUCUACAUCUCUAACUUCAGCUCAUUAUACCUGAAACUUCACUAUAUCCCAUAUCAAACCUGCUCCUCAUUUUAUUUUGCCAACCUAAGUUAAUUCAUUACUUUAACAAAGAUCAGUGUAACUCUUACUAGUCACUAUACCUAGAGUAGACAACUGAUAACAUUCAACAGUAAGAUAUCUACUGAGUAACUUAACUACAAGCUAUAUCUUACCCUCUGGCUUCCCAGGUGGGCAGUGUUAAAGAAUACACGUGCCAAUGCAGAAGACGUAGAUUUGAUCCCUGGAUCGAUCGGGAAGAUCCCCUGGAGUUGGAAAUGACAUCCAACUCCAGUACUCUUGCCUGGAAUAUUCCAUGGACAGAGGAGCCUGGUGGGCUGCAGUCCAUAGCGUCGAAAAGGGUUGGACACAACUGAUCCACUGAGCAUGCAUGCACUCGCGUCUUACCCUCAAGAAGCUCACUCUAAUUAACAUCACACAGACAAUUACCACAGUAUUUAACAAAGAUGUCUGUGUUCCCAAAAAGUGGUGCUCUUUCCAUAAACUCUUUUGUUCCAGUGAGUACAGGAGUAGGACAGGAGUGACCAGAAGAGGGAAUGGGAGAUAAGAAAAUGCAGAUAGUACAUCGGGAUGCUUAGUAUGUGAAAUUUGGUUGUGUAGGGGGUAGGGGUAGCUGGGAAGGAAGUAGGAUCUAAGGAGGAUUCUCUGUUUGUAGGAGUUUUAUUUGGUUUUUAAGAUGAGAGAUCCUUGGGGAUGUUUAAAUGCUGAUGGGAAAGGACUAGGAGACAGAGGGUGAAGACAGAAAAGAGAGAAAGGGUAAGGGAUUAGGCAUUCAACAAAUACUUGUUGAAUUAACUAAUUCCUGUUACGGAUCAUUGCUGAAGAUAUUGAGGUUGCAAUUAAUAAACUGCACAUUCCCAGCAAAAAUAUGCAGAGUCUGAGACCAGACAGAAAUGACAUUCCUUUCUCCCUCGUCAUUGGCCCUCCCCCACACUCCUGGUCCUCAGGGGAAGGCAAUAGAUAAUCCGAUAAAGUGGGGAAGAAGGGCUUCACAGCUGUUAGAGGAUGGAAGUCAAGUUCUCCAAUUCGAUGACAAGUUCCAAAAGCACUCAGCAACUUCAGAAAAGUCUAAGAUUUUAAGACUGUGGGUUUGGGUAUUAUUUCAUUAGUAAAGUAAGCAAAUAUUUUACUCUUGCUUUUUUUUUCUUUUUGACUUUACUUUG
RNAcentral lists this long non-coding RNA (2510 nucleotides) under Cervus hanglu yarkandensis (Yarkand deer). Its description in RNAcentral is "lncRNA (ENSCHYG00000011596.1)". Lineage: Eukaryota; Metazoa; Chordata; Mammalia; Artiodactyla; Cervidae. The record is from RNAcentral.